Molecule: long non-coding RNA, 276 nt
Filed under: Lathyrus oleraceus (garden pea)
Lineage: Eukaryota; Viridiplantae; Streptophyta; Magnoliopsida; Fabales; Fabaceae
Description: Pisum sativum (pea) long non-coding RNA (PSAT_LNC027801)
Source: RNAcentral
UAAUAUUUAAAUAGUUAUAAUAAUUCGGAAUAAUAAUAAAUAAUAGUAGAAUAUGAUGCAUCUAAAAAUUCUAUGAACUUGUUACUGUCUAAAUGAAAAAAAUUACUAACUAGAGAAAUGUUAUAAAUUCUUUUGCUGCAUACUUGGGUGGUUAUGCUCAUCUAGCUUCAAUGUGUCUUAACUUUCCAAAAUAAAAUAGUAGAAUAUGAUGAGGUUUUCUAUAAAAAAACAAAAUAAAUAAAAAUAAAACAAAAGGCUUUUAUACCUCAAAUCAAG